RNAcentral lists this small RNA (28 nucleotides) under Bombyx mori (domestic silkworm). Its description in RNAcentral is "ovarian small RNA-13539". The record is from RNAcentral. Lineage: Eukaryota; Metazoa; Arthropoda; Insecta; Lepidoptera; Bombycidae.
CCAGAACCAGCCUGCCGGGUCGGAACGC